AGUGAACGCUGGCGGUAGGCCUAACACAUGCAAGUCGAACGGCAGCACAGUAAGAGCUUGCUCUUAAGGGUGGCGAGUGGCGGACGGGUGAGGAAUACAUCGGAUUCUACUUUUUCGUGGGGGAUAACGUAGGGAAACCUACGCUAAUACCGCAUACGACCUACGGGUGAAAGCAGGGGAUCUUCGCACCUUGCGCGAUUGAAUGAGCCGAUGUCGGAUUAGCUAGUUGGCGGGGUAAAGGCCCACCAAGGCGACGAUACGUAGCUGGUCUGAGAGGAUGAUCAGCCACACUGGAACUGAGACACGGUCCAGACUCCUACGGGAGGCAGCAGUAGGGAAUAUUGUACAAUGGGCGCAAGCCUGAUCCAGCCAUACCGCGUGGGUGAAGAAGGCCUUCGGGUUGUAAAGCCCUUUUGUUAGGGAAGAAAAGCAGCAGAUUAAUCCCCCGCUGUUCUGACGGCACCCAAAGAAUAAGCACCGGCUAACUUCGUG
Molecule: ribosomal RNA, 492 nt
Filed under: uncultured bacterium
Lineage: Bacteria
Description: partial 16S ribosomal RNA
Rfam family: Bacterial small subunit ribosomal RNA
Source: RNAcentral